CAAUAGCGUAUAUUAAAGUUGUUGCAGUUAAAACGCUCGUAGUUGAAUAUCUGUUAUCAUUGUUCGGUCCGCUUCGGUGUGUACCGUAACAAAUAUAACAUUCGUUUGCUUUGCUCCGCACUGCAAACCGUUUACUUUGAGGAAAUUAGAGUGUUUAAAGCAGGCUUAUGCCGUUGAAUACAUUAGCAUGGAAUAAUAAGAUAGGACUUUGGCGUCUAUUUUGUUGGUUUGCACACCAAGGUAAUGAUUAAUAGGGAUAGUUGGGGGUAUUCGUAUUUAAUUGUCAGAGGUGAAAUUCUUGGAUUUAUGAAAGACGAACUUCUGCGAAAGCAUUUACCAAAGAUGUUUUCAUUAA
RNAcentral lists this ribosomal RNA (355 nucleotides) under uncultured eukaryote. Its description in RNAcentral is "partial 18S ribosomal RNA". It matches the Rfam family "Eukaryotic small subunit ribosomal RNA", at positions 592 to 976 of the family's 1831-position model. The record is from RNAcentral.